UACGUAGGAUGCAAGCGUUGUCCGGGUUUAUUGGGAUUAAAGGGUGCGUAGGCGGCAUAUUAAGUUAGUGGUGAAAACGUUCGGCUUAACCGGAUACCCGCCAUUGAUACUGAUAGACUUGAGUGCGACAGAGGGUGUUGGAAUGUGUGGUGUAGCGGUGAAAUGCUUAGAUAUCACGCAGAACACCAAUUGCGAAGGCAGAUGCCUAUGUCGUAACUGACGCUGAGGCACGAAAGCGUGGGGAGCAAACAGG
This 253-nucleotide ribosomal RNA is filed under the name uncultured bacterium. RNAcentral's name for it is "partial 16S ribosomal RNA". It matches the Rfam family "Bacterial small subunit ribosomal RNA", at positions 524 to 776 of the family's 1533-position model. The record is from RNAcentral.